CCCCUAACCCAGGGAAGGGGGGGGAAAACGUUUCGGAACGGACGCUUAAUACCGCAUACGUCCUACGGGAGAAAGCCCUUUGACCUUCGGGCCUUGCGCUAUCAGAUGAGCCUAGGUCGGAUUAGCUAGUUGGUGAGGUAAUGGCUCACCAAGGCUACGAUCCGUAACUGGUCUGAGAGGAUGAUCAGUCACACUGGAACUGAGACACGGUCCAGACUCCUACGGGAGGCAGCAGUGGGGAAUAUUGGACAAUGGGCGAAAGCCUGAUCCAGCCAUGCCGCGUGUGUGAAGAAGGUCUUCGGAUUGUAAAGCACUUUAAGUUGGGAGGAAGGGCAUUAACCUAAUACGUUAGUGUUUUGACGUUACCGACAGAAUAAGCACCGGCUAACUCUGUGCCAGCAUCCGCGGUAAUACAGAGGGUGCAAGCGUUAUUCGGAAUUACUGGGCGUAAAGCGCGCGUAGGUGGUUUGUUAAGUUGAAUGUGA
This 485-nucleotide ribosomal RNA is filed under the name uncultured bacterium. RNAcentral's name for it is "bacterial SSU rRNA". It matches the Rfam family "Bacterial small subunit ribosomal RNA", at positions 114 to 597 of the family's 1533-position model. The record is from RNAcentral.